CCUACGGGUGACAGCAGUAGGGAAUCUUCCACAAUGGGCGAAAGCCUGAUGCAGCAACGCCGCGUGGGUGAAGAAGGUCUUCGGAUUGUAAAACCCUGUUGUUAGAGAAGAAAGUGCGUGAGAGUAACUGUUCACGUUCCGACGAUAUCUAACCAGAAAGCCACGGCUAACUACGUGCCAGCAGCCGCGGUAAUACGUAGGUGGCAAGCGUUAUCCGGAUUUAUUGGGCGUAAAGGGAAUGCAGGCGGUCUUUUAAGUCUGAUGUGAAAGCCUUCGGCUUAACCGGAGUAGUGCAUUGGAAACUGGGAGACUUGAGUGCAGGAGAGGAGAGUGGAACUCCAUGUGUAGCGGUGAAAUGCGUAGAUAUAUGGAAGAACACCAGUGGCGAAGGCGGCUCUCUGGACUGUAACUGACGCUGAGGUUCGAAAGCGUGGGUAGCAAACAGGAUUAGAUACCCGAGUAGUC
This 465-nucleotide ribosomal RNA is filed under the name uncultured bacterium. Its description in RNAcentral is "partial 16S ribosomal RNA". It matches the Rfam family "Bacterial small subunit ribosomal RNA", at positions 338 to 795 of the family's 1533-position model. The record is from RNAcentral.